RNAcentral lists this non-coding RNA (234 nucleotides) under Garciella nitratireducens. RNAcentral describes it as "T-box sequence". It matches the Rfam family "T-box leader". From Rfam's summary of the family: Uncharged tRNA acts as the effector for transcription antitermination of genes in the T-box leader family. T-boxes are found upstream of many aminoacyl-tRNA synthetase genes and some amino acid biosynthetic genes usually in Gram-positive bacteria. Lineage: Bacteria; Bacillati; Bacillota; Clostridia; Eubacteriales; Eubacteriaceae. The record is from RNAcentral.
GUAAUGACGAUGAAGAGGAGAAGUAGAUAAGACAUUUUCUCUAAAGAGAGGAAAUAUUUAAGCUGAGAGUAUUUCUAGGGAGAAGCUUAUCGAAGUUCACCUCUGAGUUAUAGAUGGGAAAGGCAAAAUAGCUUAGUACUUUCUAUCGGAGAUAAAUCCGUUAUCUAAAUUGAGUGAUCUAUCAUUGAAAUGGUAGAUUAUUAGGGUGGUACCGCGAAUUGCUUCGUCCCUUUG